GCCAACCCCCAAUGGGCCAGUGCGGAGCCCAGCAGCCCCUUCCUGCUGCCUGAAACUGACCCGCCAUCGCAGACACACGUGCAGCUGAGCCGGCGCCGCACCCCGCAGCCGGGAUGAGGCCCGCGCGUCCACCCCGGGACUAACCCCAGCUUUCUAUCCAGGUUUCGGCCAGGCAAACCCGAGAUCUGGUCAUGCCAGAGGAGGUCUGUUCCCCUGGCCAGGCUAAGCGGGGGGGGGGGGGAGAGUGUUACUUAUUGAUGAAGUGCAAGGAGAUGAAAGACCCCCCCUCGCCCCCCAGCCCUUUAGCCGCGGAUCCCGGCGCCCCCCGUGUAAUUUAAACACGGUGCUCUCGAGUGAUCAGCUCGCCUAGGGGAGAUUAGGGCGAGAUAAACAGAGCGCGCCGGACUCUUUCCCCCCGCGCCGGCCGGGUCCGCGGGCAGCUGAUGCGCCAGAUCCCACCGAGCUGUUUAAUGUUUCAGGGUUAUGACCGCACUGUUUACACGAUGUCCUCGGUAAUUUAUACUGUUAUUAUUAGCGGAGGGGCUUUAAAUUUCCGCUUCACUUGCUCCUUCGAGGUCUGCCUUGUUUGCACUUCAGGUUCGAUACCUGGCGAUUCCCUCUUGCUCCGCGAAAAUAGACCCCAGUGGAUUUAGGAGCGCUGCCUCCCGGCUCCGGACUGGACGCACAAGAAGCCCGGGUCAGGCACCCGCACCGCACAGGGGCGUGGAAACCUUCGGGAUCUACUCUGGGGCGCUGAGAGGACAAGGCAAGACCCCUGCUUUGCAGAGGAGGGGCUGGGACUGCUCAACUCCAGCCCUGGAGACGGCGAGUAAGUAUGACCACUGGCCCGACCUCUUAAGCUGGGAUGCCUGAAGUUAUGCACUUACCUUCAUACUUAGGCCCUGAUCCUGCAAACACGUACACACUGGAGGCAGAACGUGUCUCCAGUGGUCCCAGGGACACCUACGAGGCUUUUAAGGGUUUUAAAGGUAGCUGAAAAGCUUAGCAGGCUGGGGUCCUCGGAUACCCACUUUCAUCAACAGCUGCCAGUUUACGGAGAUGUGGGUGCUUAGCACCUUCGGGAAACAGAUGACUUAAUUGAAGAGCCUAAAUAUGGCUUUUUGUGUCAUAUGUUGGCAACCGUGAACACUUGUAGUCAAAGGCAAAAUCACAGUGACUUCUGUCCUCUAAAAAUCAGGCCUCUACCACCAAACAUUUUGGCCUGGGUAAAUACAUGGAUGCAUUUUGUAGUCAGCGGGUGUUUUGGUCAAGCAAGUUCUGCAGAAUUCAGGACCAGAUCUACUGUUCUUCUUUUAUAUCUUCCAGCCCUGCACACUGUAUUAUUUUUUUCUUGUGAUUCUUUAGUCUUUCUUUUUGUUUUUACAUUCCACUGCACUGUUACUUCCUGCUUUUUAUUUCUGAUCUCUCAACCCUGGAUGUAAUCUGGAGUCCUUUCUUCAAGCAAAAUCUCUUUGAAACAAGGGAGGUUGGAUCCAGCCCCAUAUUCCAUAACAAAGGUGAGAAAUCAAAUAGGAACAAGAGGGUCACAGACCCUUUAUUAUUAGAUGAUGGCCACAGAAUAAUAGCUUGUUAUCUGCUGCACUUUCCAGUGUGUUACUGAUAUUACUUCUCUUAAUUCCCUCUCCUUUACAUUUUCUUUAGAUUAGCAAAUUUUUUUUGUCCUUCAGGUAACCCAAAUCUGCUUUAAAGUGUGAUAUAUUUAAUGUGACUGACUACAAAUUGACAAAGGCACAAUGAAAGAAAGAACAUAUCUAUACCUAUUAUCCAAAAAAGGAAAAUUGUUGUUGUAAUGACUUUAAUAGCAUUCCUAUUCAAUUCACUUUCUUCACAUGCUUAGGAGUGUUUGCAAAAUUUAAAGCAAGCACCCAUAACUGGCAUAAAUUAACAUCACCCCAUUUCUUUUGUUCUGAUAUCUAUUGACUUGAGUACAUGCCCAUUUAGAUCAGCUGAAAAGGUGAUCUGGAAUAUUUUCUCAUAGUGCUAGAAGUAAAACUAGUAAAUACCUGUGGAUCACACAGCACAUCUAAGAUUCCUGCUGAAGAACUUUGCCAUAUAAAAAUGCUCAGUUAGUGGCUUCCUCUUAUUUCUACAGUCAACAGGUUUUUUGCCAUUUGUUCCAGAUCCUAUGGCUUAAACUAUAGUUAUGAGUUAUAAUGGAGGAUAUCAUGGGGAGGUUUUGUUUUGUUUUGUAUUUUAAUUACCAAAUUUGAAAAAGGAGCAACAUAUUAUCAACUCCUAUAAUCCUGAGGUAGGUCAGUAUUAACUGCUGCUUGCCCAAGACCUGAAACAAGAUACUGUUUUCCUUAUUAAUACAUUGAAGGCAGUGGGAAUUUUGGGUGAACAAAGAGGGCAGAAUUCAGCCAUAAAUUUUCUAUGGUAACACAUUGCACUUUCUAAUCACCCUCUUUCUCAAUAAUUACUAAAUUCAUUCAAUUUAUCUCCGUGCCUUUUUUAUCCAGCAGAUGUACAGAUUAGAAGCUAGAAUUUCCAAGAAGGUUUGAUGCUUAAAAUGUAGCAAGGAAAGGAAAUCAGGAGAAAUACAACAACCUGUCACAGAAAUAAGAGAGAUGCAAUUGUAACCUUGCCUAAACCCAAAUUAAAAGAAAGGCAGAGCAAAAGAUUCAUGUGCAAACAACUGUUUCAAGGAGGGAGAAUCUUCAGUCUUCUUCUUGGAUAGUACUUUAUUCUGUCAGUCAUUCAGGCUACCUAUGAAUAAAGUCAUCCACAUGUUCCCAAGAGAGAGCAACUGUGUAACAAGCAUAAAGGCAAAUGUUAACUUUAUUUACUGGACAAAAAAGUCAAAUGUUUCUCUUUACCUGUACUUUUGAGGUAAAGGGUAUGGUUUUCAAAGGUAUUUAAGUGCUUUAGGAACAUAACACGUUUACAUAUUUAAUAAAUGUUUAUUCCUAGUCACAACAACCAGUCAAGCACUCAUUUCUAAAAUAUCUAAACCUGGAUAUCUGACACAUUUCUAAAAUGGGGUGAAAUUUUUAAGGCAACAUUUUUUGUAAUUCAGCUGAAACAAUUCAGGGAUUUGUAUCAAAUUCCUUGAAUUGUUUAGGCUGAAAAAAGGUUAAGAAAUAUUCAUUUAGAAUUUUUUUAACAAAGGAUUUUCUUUUUUACAUUUUUUUAAUGACAUUUUCUUUUUAAAUUUAUCUCUUUCAUUUUCUUUAAAAAAGAAGGGGAGGGGGAAAGAGCCCCACAAUAAAAUGGUUAAUU
Long non-coding RNA from Gavialis gangeticus (Gharial), 3240 nucleotides. RefSeq lists it as uncharacterized. The record is from RefSeq and is a predicted model, not a curated record. NCBI's taxonomy places the organism in Eukaryota, Metazoa, Chordata, Crocodylia, Gavialidae. The transcript is spliced from 2 exons.